AAGACGAAUAAUCAAACGUUGGAC
This 24-nucleotide microRNA is filed under the name Oryza sativa (Asian cultivated rice). RNAcentral describes it as "osa-miR5799". Lineage: Eukaryota; Viridiplantae; Streptophyta; Magnoliopsida; Poales; Poaceae. The record is from miRBase by way of RNAcentral.